GCUACGGGAGGCAGCAGUGGGGAAUAUUGCACAAUGGGGGAAACCCUGAUGCAGCGACGCCGCGUGAGUGAAGAAGUAUUUCGGUAUGUAAAGCUCUAUCAGCAGGGAAGAAAAUGACGGUACCUGACUAAGAAGCCCCGGCUAACUACGUGCCAGCAGCCGCGGUCAUCCGUAGGGGGCACGCGUUAUCAGGAGUUACUGGGUGUAAAGGGAGAGUAGACGGCCAGACAAGUCAGAAGUGAAAGCCCAGGGUUCAACCCUGGGACUGCUUUUGAAACUGCCGGGCUGGAGUGCAGGAGAGGUAAGCGGAAGUCCUAGUGUAGCGGUGAAAUGCGUAGAGAGUAGGAGGAACACCAGUGGCGAAGGCGGCUUACUGGACUGUAACUGACGUUGAGGCUCGAAAGCGUGGGGAGCAAACAGGAUUAGAUACCCGAGUAGUC
This 440-nucleotide ribosomal RNA is filed under the name uncultured bacterium. RNAcentral describes it as "partial 16S ribosomal RNA". It matches the Rfam family "Bacterial small subunit ribosomal RNA", at positions 338 to 795 of the family's 1533-position model. The record is from RNAcentral.